UACAGAGGGGGCAAGCGUUGUUCGGAAUUACUGGGCGUAAAGGGCGCGUAGGUGGCCUUCUAAGUCGAACGUGAAAUCCCUGGGCUCAACCCAGGAACUGCGUCCGAUACUGGAAGGCUUGAAUCCGGGAGAGGGAUGCGGAAUUCCAGGUGUAGCGGUGAAAUGCGUAGAUAUCUGGAGGAAUACCGGUGGCGAAGGCGGCAUCCUGGACCGGCAUUGACGCUGAGGCGCGAAAGCUAGGGGAGCAAACGGG
RNAcentral lists this ribosomal RNA (253 nucleotides) under uncultured bacterium. RNAcentral's name for it is "partial 16S ribosomal RNA". It matches the Rfam family "Bacterial small subunit ribosomal RNA", at positions 524 to 776 of the family's 1533-position model. The record is from RNAcentral.